Molecule: ribosomal RNA, 256 nt
Filed under: uncultured prokaryote
Description: partial 16S ribosomal RNA
Rfam family: Bacterial small subunit ribosomal RNA
Source: RNAcentral
AAUACGUAGGUGGCAAGCGUUGUUCGGAAUUACUGGGCGUAAAGCGCGUGUAGGCGGCUCUUCAAGUCAGGCGUGAAAGCCCCGGGCUUAACUCGGGAACUGCGCUUGAUACUGUCGAGCUAGAGUGUGGAAGGGGCGAUUGGAAUUCCGUGUGUAGCGGUGAAAUGCGUAGAUAUACGGAGGAACACCAGAGGCGAAGGCGGAUCGCUGGGCCAACACUGACGCUGAGACGCGAAAGCUAGGGGGGCAAACGGGA